AGGGCACCACCAGGAGUGGAGCCUGCGGCUUAAUUUGACUCAACACGGGGAAACUUACCCGGCCUGGACACUGGAAGGAUUGACAGAUUGAGAGCUCUUUCUUGAUUCAGUGGGUGGUGGUGCAUGGCCGUUCUUAGUUGGUGGAGCGAUUUGUCUGGUUAAUUCCGAUAGCGAACGAGACUCUAGCCUAUUAAAUAGGCUCCCGGCUUUUAAACGCCGGGAGGACUUCUUAGAGGGACAGGGGGCGGUUCAGCCGCACGAAAGAGAGCAAUAACAGGUCUGUGAUGCCCUUUGUUGUCCGGGGCCGCACGCGCGCUACACUGAAGAGAUCAGCGUGCUUUACGUUCCUGCUCCGACCGGAGUGGGGAACCCAGUGAACCUUCUUCGUGAUUGGGAUAGAAGAUUGUAAUUAUUCUUCUUGAACGAGGAAUUCCCAGUAAAUGCGAGUCAUAAGCUCGCGUUGAUUACGUCCCUGCCCUUUGUACACACCGCCCGUCGCUACUACCGAUUGAACGAUUU
Molecule: ribosomal RNA, 519 nt
Filed under: uncultured eukaryote
Lineage: Eukaryota
Description: SSU rRNA
Rfam family: Eukaryotic small subunit ribosomal RNA
Source: RNAcentral